AGCAGCUGCGGUAAUUCCAGCUCCAAUAGCGUAUAUUAAAGUUGUUGCAGUUAAAAAGCUCGUAGUUGAAUUUCGGGGUUCUACCGUUGGUCGGGCUUUGUCUGUACUGGCGUGUGGAAUUUCUACCUUCUGGGGAACCAUCAUGUUAUUAAUUUAACGUGGUGGGAAACCAGGACCUUUACCUUGAAAAAAUUAGAGUGUUCAAAGCAGGCUUAUGUCUGAAUACAUUAGCAUGGAAUAAUAAAAUAGGACGGUGGUCCUGUUUUGUUGGUUUCUGAAUCACCGUAAUGAUUAAUAGGGAUAGUUGGGGGCAUUAGUAUUCAAUUGUCAGAGGUGAAAUUCUUGGAUUUAUUGAAGACUAACUUCUGCGAAAGCAUUUGCCAAGGAUGUUUUCAUUAAUCAAGAACGAAAGUUAGGGGAUCGAAGACGAUCAGAUACCGUCGUAGUCUU
This 450-nucleotide ribosomal RNA is filed under the name uncultured Glomeromycotina. RNAcentral describes it as "SSU rRNA". It matches the Rfam family "Eukaryotic small subunit ribosomal RNA", at positions 569 to 1027 of the family's 1831-position model. The record is from RNAcentral. Lineage: Eukaryota; Fungi; Glomeromycota.